RNAcentral lists this ribosomal RNA (253 nucleotides) under uncultured bacterium. RNAcentral's name for it is "partial 16S ribosomal RNA". It matches the Rfam family "Bacterial small subunit ribosomal RNA", at positions 524 to 776 of the family's 1533-position model. The record is from RNAcentral.
UACGUAGGUGGCAAGCGUUGUCCGGAUUUACUGGGUGUAAAGGGCGUGCAGCCGGAGAGACAAGUCAGAUGUGAAAUCCACGGGCUCAACCCGUGAACUGCAUUUGAAACUGUUUCCCUUGAGUGUCGGAGAGGUAAUCGGAAUUCCUUGUGUAGCGGUGAAAUGCGUAGAUAUAUGGAAGAACACCAGUGGCGAAGGCGGAUUACUGGACGAUAACUGACGGUGAGGCGCGAAAGCGUGGGGAGCAAACAGG